This 681-nucleotide long non-coding RNA is filed under the name Phascolarctos cinereus (koala). Its description in RNAcentral is "lncRNA (ENSPCIG00000029616.2)". Lineage: Eukaryota; Metazoa; Chordata; Mammalia; Diprotodontia; Phascolarctidae. The record is from RNAcentral.
GCUAGAUCAUAGAAUCAUAGAUUUAAAGUAGAGGCCAAGGAGUCCCUUCAUCUUGCAGAUAGGGCAUUAGGCCCCAAGUGACUUGCCACUAACAAUGUAGUAGUGUGCCUGUCCCUCCACAACCCAUCUGACAUGGAGUGUUGCCUUCUUUUGUCCUCUCUGCCAUCCCUUUCACUUUUAAUCUAUGAUCCUAUGAGAUUAUAUGCUUUUUGUACAGGUAAGAGUGUACAACUGCACUAAUACCUUGGGGACACCGUGACCCUAAGAGGUGGGCGGUGGGAGCAAAUCACAGUCUUAGUUGUGUAGUGAAUCCAAUUGAGAUUGCAACCUCGACCCUUCCCCCACUAGGGGGCGGAGAAUUUCCUGUUCGAAACUCAAGGCGGGAAGAUGAGGGGGAAGAGAAAAGAGGAUAAAAAAAGGAAACCACGUGCAUGUCCUCGUGACCCGGAAGCAAACUCCUUUGCUCUUUUCCCCGUCCCGUCACUUCCGCCACCCCUCUGUCAGCGGGAGGGAUACAGCUUAUUGGUCCGGCCUGUAGCUUCAGCUGCUGGCUUCGCCGCCGCCAUCACCAUGAUUCAGUUUUUGGAUUUACACUCGGCAAUGUGGUCGGGAUGUAUCUGGCUCAGAACUAUGACAUUCCGAACUUGGCCAAAAAGCUUGAAGAGAUUAAAAAAGAUAUAG